GUCAGCGCCGCGGUAACACCGGCGGCUCGAGUGGUAACCGUUAGUUAUUGGGUCUAAAGGGUCUGUAGCCGGCCGGAUAAGUCUCUUGGGAAAUCUGGCAGCUUAACUGUCAGGCUUCAGGGGGAUACUGUCUGGCUCGAGGCCGGGAGAGGUGAGAGGUACUUCAGGGGUAGGGGUGAAAUCUUGUAAUCCUUGAAGGACCACCAGUGGCGAAGGCGUCUCACCAGAACGGACCUGACGGCAAGGGACGAAAGCUAGGGGCACGAACCGGAUUAGAUACCCGGGUAGUCCUAGCCGUAAACGAUACUCGCUAGGUGUCGGCCACGGUGCGACCGUGGUCGGUGCCGUAGGGAAGCCGUGAAGCGAGCCACCUGGGAAGCACGGCCGCAAGGCUGAAACUUAAAGGAAUUGGCGGGGGAGCACCAACCAACGGGUGGAGCUUGCGGUUUAAUUGGAUUCAACGCCGGAAAUCUUACCGGGACCGACAGCAAUAUGAAGGCCAGGCUGAAGACUUUGCCGGAUUAGCUGAGAGGUGGUGCAUGG
RNAcentral lists this ribosomal RNA (543 nucleotides) under uncultured archaeon. Its description in RNAcentral is "bacterial SSU rRNA". It matches the Rfam family "Archaeal small subunit ribosomal RNA", at positions 457 to 997 of the family's 1478-position model. The record is from RNAcentral.